AACGAACGCUGGCGGCAUGCCUAACACAUGCAAGUCGAACGAGACCUUCGGGUCUAGUGGCGCACGGGUGCGUAACGCGUGGGAACCUGCCCUUAGGUUCGGAAUAACUCCCCGAAAGGGGUGCUAAUACCGGAUAAUGUCUUCGGACCAAUGAUUUAUCGACUUUGGAUGGGCCCGCGUUGGAUUAGCUAGUUGGUAGGGUAAAAGCCUACCAAGGCGACGAUCCAUAGCUGGUCUGAGAGAAUGAUCAGCCACACUGGGGAGGAGACAGGGCCGAACAUCGUGCGAGGGGCGAAAGGGGGAUAUAGGCAAACCGGGGGGAAGACGAGACCCAGCGGGUCCUGGAGGGAUGUAGGGGGGAUAGGGUUGAAGAGGUUUUUUACCCGGGUUUAAUGACGGUACCCGGAGAAAAAGCGCCGGCGAACUCCGUG
RNAcentral lists this ribosomal RNA (431 nucleotides) under uncultured bacterium. RNAcentral's name for it is "partial 16S ribosomal RNA". It matches the Rfam family "Bacterial small subunit ribosomal RNA", at positions 29 to 507 of the family's 1533-position model. The record is from RNAcentral.